Molecule: unclassified non-coding RNA, 336 nt
Filed under: soil metagenome
Description: partial contains 5.8S ribosomal RNA, internal transcribed spacer 2, and large subunit ribosomal RNA
Rfam family: 5.8S ribosomal RNA (bases 4-119)
Source: RNAcentral
GAUAAGAACGUAGCGAAAUGCGAUAAGUAAUGUGAAUUGCAGAAUUCAGUGAAUCAUCGAAUCUUUGAACGCACAUUGCGCCCCUUGGUAUUCCGAGGGGCAUGCCUGUUCGAGCGUCAUUACACCACACAAGCUAUGCUUGGUAUUGGGCGUCGUCCUUAGUUGGGCGCGCCUUAAAGACCUCGGCGAGGCCACUCCGGCUUUAGGCGUAGUAGAAUUUAUUCGAACGUCUGUCAAAGGAGAGGAACUCUGCCGACUGAAACCUUUAUUUUUCUAGGUUGACCUCGGAUCAGGUAGGGAUACCCGCUGAACUUAAGCAUAUCAAUAAGCGGAGGA